GUUAUUUCUCAGGACUGCCUGGCGGUGGCCGGAUCCAGCCUCCUGCCUGGCUGGGCUUUCGGCUGUUUGCGCGUCUCCUGGUGGCGUUUCCCUUCCCCGUACACCUCUGCCGACGAUGAGGAAAGGUCUGAGGGCGACAGCGGCCCGCUGCGGACUGGGACUAGGAUACUUGCUGCAGAUGCUUGUGUUACCUGCCCUGGCCCUGCUAAGCGCCAGUGGCACCGGCUCCGCCGCUCAAGGUAAGAGGGUCUUCAGGGCGCGGCAGUCACCUCCCUUUGCUUCUGUCUUCCCUCUCUUCUACCUCUAUUUGUCCCCGGCGCUCCUUGAUUCCUCACCUGCCUAGUUGCCCCCAAUGGAAACCACUUUAAAUCCCACUUUCCCAACUAGUUAAGAAACCAGAUUUUCAGUCUUAGCUCUGGAUCUGGGUAAGGAUGGACCCGGGGUGUGUUAAGUGUAGCUGCUGUCUCGGUGCCUGUGGGAUCCUGGAGUGUCUUUUGCACUUUCAGACCCACAGACGCACGGUUUUGAAUAUUGUGUAGCCGGGGGUUUCCAGAGGCACUGAUAGUGGCGUUGUGGUAUGUGCCCCAAUAUGUGUAGUGUGCCGAGGCUUCUCGCUGUGCGCGAUGGCUGCGCUUGCAGGGUUUUCUUCCACCUCCGCUAAGGAAAUAUGUCCAUUACCGCCAAGGACCCAUAGGCGCUGGUGCCCCUAGACUGCUGAUGGGGCGCUAUGGAGAUGCUCAAUUCGCCCAGAAAGGACAGGCUCCGGGUGUGCCUGCUUCUCCACUCACAACCUCUUCGUGUCCCGCUCCGGACAGGCGAUCCUUGAAAAACUUCAAAACCACAGCUCUAGUGGGUGACUCUAGCUGUUCGAACCAAAUCUGCAACUCUCUGGGGGAAAGGACGCUGCUAACCAGUUUAUAACUGACAUUUUAAUGCGUGUAAGCCUCGAAGUGUGUGGCACUCUGAGCAAAGCCGGAGUAGGAGGACAGUGGUCCAGAGUUGGGAAUGUCUUGUACGGGUAGAGGGAAGACACCUAGACUGAGGUUCAUCUUGGAGGCUUCUUUCUUGUUCAUUGAGUUUUAGAGGGAGGUGCAGCUCCCAGACUUAUUCAAACCAGUUCCCACCCAGAUCCUUCUUUGCCAUUUUAAAGAUUUAUUUAUUUAUUUAUUUAUUUAUUUAUUUAUUUAUUUAUUGUCUAUAGCCAGAAGGCAACACAGCUUUGCCUGGAGAGAGAGGCAACAAUUCAGAACCAGCUCAGAGACCUUCCCUUUUCUACACACACACACACACACACACACACACACACACACUUCUUUGUGAAUUUGGAGAGUUUGGGGGGAGGAGCAGCAACCCUCCUUCCAUGAUGCUCACAGACUGGUUUAUUCCAACUGCAGCCUGCAUUUCCUAAAAUCUACAGGCACUGAUGCAGGGAGGUGGGUGCUGAAAGAAAGCCCAGAGGCCAGGCAAGCCUGGUCCUCAUGAGGAGGUAUGCGAUGAGCAAGGCAGUGUGAAUCUGAGAUAGCUACUUAGGGAGUAAAUUGCUCCUGCUACACUGCUAAGUGGCCAUGCUCAUAAAUCCUGCCUUCCUUUCUGGACAGACGCUUCCUACCCUUGUGGGUCAGCUCUGGUUUGCUUAUGCACACAUCCAGAGCACCUCUGACCAUGUUCAAGGGAAUCCGUGCUAGAAAGCCUAGAGUUCUUGAAAGUGGUGAGAAGUUUUCAGGACUCUAGCCAGAAAUGCUUCCAGGAGGAUCUUAGGAAGCCAACGUGGACAACGAUCUUAGGAAGCCUAAGGGUUCUGGAAUCAGCUGUAUGAGUCCUGCUGGAAUUCGGUGUCAUUUUUCUGUGCACAAAGGACUAAGCCACUGGGGGGUGAGGGGAAGGGUUUGGGAAAAGGAAAAGUUAAAAGUCCCCAAAGAUGCAAAAAGGAGGCAGGAUCCCUGUGGAGAGCUUACAACAGCCAAAUUAAAAAGACUGGGUAGGAGAAGGAUCGAUGAAGAUAAUCAAACAGGGGACUGUAAGUGGAUUAAUAUUGAAAGAAGGGAGCAGAGACUAAGCGGGAAGGAGCUGGGGAUACGUUCUGCCUCCUGCACUUUCUCUUGGUCUACACCAGACAAGGCAAAGGUUGAGGAUUAAUUCUGAUCUUCAGCAGGGGAAGAAAAGAAGGUUUAGGGGGUGUACGCCAUUCUGGUGUGGAUUUUCUCCAUUUGCUCUCGAUCAGGGAGAAUAACUCCCCCCCCCUUCAAAUCACAUGGUCUGAGAUGCAGGACUCUCACUUUUAUCUUUGUUAUCCUCCAUGUUCCAGAGCACCAGCUCUUCCUGUGUUAUCUGUGAGACAUCAAAGGGAGUGUAGAGCACAGAAAUCUGCUAUCAGCUACUGUCCCUGUGGCUGCUACUCAUUAGCCAGGCCUGUUUACUACUGACCUGCUGUUAACACUCUAUUCUCAGCCAGUCACUGUAGGACAGUCUGGUGGGCAGGCUCCCAUUCCCUUCAGUAUCUCCUUUCUGUCCAAUUUACACUCGAGCUUCCACACAUACCCCAAAGGUACCAUUUGCUUGUUCUGCUGCAUUAAUGACUCCAGUGGACAGUACUUUUCAUGAAUGGAAGUACAUAUGCAACUAGAAUGCAAGACAUUCAUGAAGUACUUUACAAUGUGAUGAAGGUUUCGAACCUGUUGGAGCAGUGCUGAGAAAAUGAGAAGCUUUCGAAAAAAAAAAGUAGAUCUCGAGUUGAAAUCAGCCCAGGGGAGGAGAAAAACCAACCACAACAUGGUUGUAGAAGCACAGAGCGAGUAUUAUUUAUGAGUGAGGGAGUUUUGCAACUGUGGAUUAAAGACAGACAGCAGUCAUGUUAAACAGGUCCUUGGGAAAUUCUCUGAGCUGUAGGCAACAACUUUCCCCCUCUCUACCCCUGCUCUAAUUGGUUCAUUGAGUAUUGCUGGGAAACCUUUUCUCCAGGGAAUUCUCAGGGCUCCUGACUUCCAAGAAUGAAAGAUUUUUACUAGGAAAGGCAAGGGGUGUGUGUGUGUGUGUGUGUGUGUGUGUGUGUGUGUGAGUGAAUUUUUGCCUCCUUUUACGUCACAAUGUCUCUCUUAUCUGCCACCACUAAUAUUAUGUGUGCUAACACCUCCAAGUUUAGACCAGAAAAUUAUUAAUAUCUAUUCAGAGAUAAUUCCCUUAUUGCAUAAAUUUAGUGUUUUUAAGACAAGUAACACAUUUCUUUCCACAGGAGAGGAAAGUACUUUCAUAGCUUUAUGCAUGUUGGUGUUUCACAAAUUGACAGUCUGUUUUGAUAAUAGCCAAAUUUGAUGGCUACUCUCUCAUAUAUGGCUCAGCUGGGAGACAAAUUCAUGUAUUCACUAUGGAGAUUUAC
RNAcentral lists this long non-coding RNA (3373 nucleotides) under Mus musculus (house mouse). RNAcentral describes it as "long non-coding RNA chr3:141465598-141468971". The record is from RNAcentral. Lineage: Eukaryota; Metazoa; Chordata; Mammalia; Rodentia; Muridae.